GUGUCAGCAGCCGCGGUAAUACGAAAGGGGCUAGCGUUGUUCGGAAUUACUGGGCGUAAAGCGCGCGUAGGCGGCCUUGCAAGUUGGGGGUGAAAUCCCGGAGCUCAACUCCGGAACUGCCUUCAAAACUGCAAAGCUAGAGGAUGCGAGAGGUGAGCGGAAUUCCGAGUGUAGAGGUGAAAUUCGUAGAUAUUCGGAAGAACACCAGUGGCGAAGGCGGCUCACUGGCGCAUUUCUGACGCUGAGGCGCGAAAGCGUGGGGAGCAAACAGGAUUAGAUACCCUGGUAGUCCACGCCGUAAACGAUGAGGGCUAGUUGUCGGGCGGCUUGCCGUUCGGUGACGCAGCUAACGCAGUAAGCAUACCACCUGGGGAGUACGUCGGCAACGAUGAAACUUAAAGGAAUUGACGGGG
Molecule: ribosomal RNA, 413 nt
Filed under: uncultured prokaryote
Description: bacterial SSU rRNA
Rfam family: Bacterial small subunit ribosomal RNA
Source: RNAcentral